Molecule: small nucleolar RNA, 108 nt
Organism: Jaculus jaculus (lesser Egyptian jerboa)
Lineage: Eukaryota; Metazoa; Chordata; Mammalia; Rodentia; Dipodidae
Product: small nucleolar RNA U13
Exons: 1
Source: RefSeq, a predicted model, not a curated record
GUCCUUUUGUGGUUUCUAAGCAUGAUGACUGACUGGGUUUCCAUAUCAUUCUGUGAGUUGUGUCUCCCUCAAAUUUUGUUAUGUUGUCAAUUCAUCACUCAUUUGACA